AAUAGAUACCCGGGUAGUCCACGCCGUAAACGUUGGGCGCUAGAUGUGGGGACCAUUCCACGGUUUCCGCGUCGUAGCUAACGCAUUAAGCGCCCCGCCUGGGGAGUACGGCCGCAAGGCUAAAACUCAAAGGAAUUGACGGGGGCCCGCACAAGCGGCGGAGCAUGCGGAUUAAUUCGAUGCGACGCGAAGAACCUUACCAAGGCUUGACAUAUGCGAGAACGCUCUAGAAAUAGAGAACUCUUUGGACACUCGUAUACAGGUGGUGCAUGGUUGUCGUCAGCUCGUGUCGUGAGAUGUUGGGUUAAGUCCCGCAACGAGCGCAACCCUCGUCGCAUGUUGCCAGCACGUAAUGGUGGGAACUCAUGUGAGACUGCCGGGGUCAACUCGGAGGAAGGUGGGGAUGACGUCAAAUCAUCAUGCCCCUUAUGUCUUGGGCUUCACGCAUGCUACAAUGGCCGGUACAAAGGGCUGCGAAACCGCAAGGUGGAGCGAAUCCCAAAAAGCCGGUCUCAGUUCGGA
This 522-nucleotide ribosomal RNA is filed under the name uncultured bacterium. RNAcentral describes it as "bacterial SSU rRNA". It matches the Rfam family "Bacterial small subunit ribosomal RNA", at positions 777 to 1297 of the family's 1533-position model. The record is from RNAcentral.